CGCAACUGACGCUCAUGCUCGAAAGUGCGGGUAUCGAACAGGAUUAGAUACCCUGGUAGUCCGCACGGUAAACGAUGGAUGCCCGCUAUUUGUCCAUUAGGAUAAGUGGCCAAGUGAAAACGUUAAGCAUCCCACCUGGGGAGUACGCCGGCAACGGUGAAACUCAAAGGAAUUGACGGGGGCCCGCACAAGCGGAGGAACAUGUGGUUUAAUUCGAUGAUACGCGAGGAACCUUACCCGGGCUUGAAUUGCUGAGGAAAGAUCCAGAGAUGGUGAUGCCCUUCGGGGCCUCAGUGAAGGUGCUGCAUGGUUGUCGUCAGCUCGUGCCGUGAGGUGUCGGCUUAAGUGCCAUAACGAGCGCAACCCCUCUCUUCAGUUGCCAUCAGGUUAAGCUGGGCACUCUGGAGACACUGCCACCGUAAGGUGUGAGGAAGGUGGGGAUGACGUCAAAUCAGCACGGCCCUUACGUCCGGGGCUACACACGUGUUACAAUGGGUGGUACAGAGAGUUGGGUGCCCGCAAGGUCACUCUAAUCAAUAAAUCCAUCCUCAGUUCGGACUGGGGUCUGCAACCCGACCCCACGAAGCUGGAUUCGCUAGUA
Molecule: ribosomal RNA, 601 nt
Filed under: uncultured bacterium
Lineage: Bacteria
Description: bacterial SSU rRNA
Rfam family: Bacterial small subunit ribosomal RNA
Source: RNAcentral